Molecule: long non-coding RNA, 813 nt
Organism: Chinchilla lanigera (long-tailed chinchilla)
Lineage: Eukaryota; Metazoa; Chordata; Mammalia; Rodentia; Chinchillidae
Exons: 4
Source: RefSeq, a predicted model, not a curated record
GUAAGAGCCAGACUCGAAAUGCCAAUUCUGCCUCUUUGGAGCCCAACUUUUUGAAGGGAAAAGGCCACAUUUGUGCAGAUUUGUGUCCCUUUGUUCGGAAGUCGCUGAACUUGCCAAUCAAAGGGAGAUGAAAGAAGCACGGAUGCAUCAGGAGGAAGACAGAAUACCCCAGUGCUCCUGGUUCCACCUGACCUGACUCUAAGCGCACAGUUUCAGAGCAAGCUUGAGGACCGAAGGCAGGAAGCAGAAGCUGAGAAGGUCGAUGCAGGGGAAAUGAUGAACCUAGCAGAAAUGGAAAGAGCAGCAAAGCCUCAUUGUUCCCAGGACCCCGGAUCAUGACCGCAUGCAGCGAUGCUUUGUGUGACCACCUCCUGUGCUGCUGUGGGUCCCAGCGGGGUGGGAACAACCUGGCACUCGGUUCACCUUCCAGCCUCUCUUCCAAACCUGCGCUGGACCUGGACCUGCGCUGCCUCUCAGGAGUGAGUCCAGGGCCAUAGAUGUCUAUCUUCCCCAACACGUCAAGCAAGCCCCGGAGUGAGGAGGUGGAGGCUGACACACAGCAGGCGGCUGUGCCUCACACAAGAGAUGAGACUGAGAGAGGAGCAAACCCUGGAGCCGCUGCAUCCAGCCACUGCUUCAGUGAGACCUAAACCUCCCGGAUGUGUAAGCCAAGAGCUUCCUCCCACCUGUUUAAAAACAUUUGCAGUGGGAUUCUCCCAUGUAUAUUUCAGUGAACCCUAAUCAUAUGUGUGUCUGUGAGCAUCAGGUUGAAACACAUCUAGGAGACUUUGGACCGAACAGCAGGAAACAGAA